UUAGUACUCCCUCCGUCCUAAAAUUCUUGUCUUAGAUUUGCCUAGGUGUGAAUGUAUCUAGUCAUGUUUUAGUAUUUAGAUACAUCCAUUUCUAAACAAACCUAAGACAAGAAUUUUAGGACGGAGGGAGUAGUUG
This 136-nucleotide microRNA precursor is filed under the name Hordeum vulgare. RNAcentral describes it as "microRNA MIR1122". It matches the Rfam family "MIR1120/MIR1122 microRNA precursor family". The record is from RNAcentral. Lineage: Eukaryota; Viridiplantae; Streptophyta; Magnoliopsida; Poales; Poaceae.